GACGAACGCUGGCGGCGUGCCUAACACAUGCAAGUCGAACGGAAUUAAGUUUAACACCGAACGUUUUGUUUGGUGAAGACGCCUUACCGAACGGUGGGUGUUGAACUUAAUUUAGUGGCGGACGGGUGAGUAACGCGUGAGUAACCUGCCUUUCAGAGGGGGAUAACGUCUGGAAACGGACGCUAAUACCGCAUGAUAUAUUUUGGUCGCAUGGCCGGGAUAUCAAAGGAGCAAUCCGCUGAAAGAUGGACUCGCGUCCGAUUAGCUAGUUGGUGAGAUAAAGGCCCACCAAGGCGACGAUCGGUAGCCGGACUGAGAGGUUGAACGGCCACAUUGGGACUGAGACACGGCCCAGACUCCUACGGGAGGCAGCAGUGGGGGAUAUUGCACAAUGGAGGAAACUCUGAUGCAGCAACGCCGCGUGAGGGAAGACGGUUUUCGGAUUGUAAACCUCUGUCCUUGGUGACGAAAAAAAUGACGGUAGCCAAGGAGGAAGCUCCGGCUAACUACGUG
This 513-nucleotide ribosomal RNA is filed under the name uncultured organism. RNAcentral's name for it is "bacterial SSU rRNA". It matches the Rfam family "Bacterial small subunit ribosomal RNA", at positions 28 to 507 of the family's 1533-position model. The record is from RNAcentral.